ACGAGGGUUGUAACCCGGUCGAGAUGAUGUGGGAACGUCCGGGAUGGGCGGGGUUGACGCCCGAACAGGCUUAAACGAACGUUGUUUUUGCGUGGGCCGGUAUUUCAACCACGGAGGUCUGAUCCCGGGAGGAUUCUUUCCAAUCCAGACUGAUCCCGGCCGAAGCGAACAAGGCCUAGGUGGGAUCUGGAGCUCGUUGCGGCCGCGGACUCCACGCCCCUAUAAAACCAGACCUCGCCAUUGAGAGAGGGAGGGAACCGUUGGGAGCUUGGACCGUCGUCGCCGACGUACCUCAUCCUCAGAAGCUGUUCAGGGACCAAGGAGGGACGCCGGGUUUGCGCUCGGCGUGCGGCGUGUGUACGUGGGAUAGCCGAGCCAAGACCUCGACCCAAGCGUGGGCAAUUGCUCACCAGCGCGUGUCACCGUCGUGGAUUUGCCACUCACCGUGGGUCGGCUUCUCUAUCGCCUCUGAACCCUAGUCAUGAACAUGUACCACAAGAUUAGGAGCAUGAAGGAGGUCACGAUGAGUUCGUGAGAGGUCUAGACCGUCGUCUCCGAGUUAACUAUGGUUGCUGGAUUGUUGUCUUCGUAUGAUAUAAUUAUUUAACUAUUUUGUAUAAAACUCCAUUAUAUAUUAAAAAUGUUACAUUCGUUUCUGUAACAUGAGUCAUCAUAUGUGUGAGACUUGAUACUAACACACAUUUGAGAUGCACCUAGGUUUGACCUUUAAAUCCGGUUGUGACCGAUGUGUACUGUGUAAACUUGUUUGAAUUAUGUUACAGAAUUGUUGUGAGCAGGCAUAUUAGUUGAA
Molecule: long non-coding RNA, 811 nt
Organism: Zea mays
Lineage: Eukaryota; Viridiplantae; Streptophyta; Magnoliopsida; Poales; Poaceae
Exons: 2
Source: RefSeq, a predicted model, not a curated record